This 253-nucleotide ribosomal RNA is filed under the name uncultured bacterium. RNAcentral describes it as "partial 16S ribosomal RNA". It matches the Rfam family "Bacterial small subunit ribosomal RNA", at positions 524 to 776 of the family's 1533-position model. The record is from RNAcentral.
UACGGGGGGGGCAAGCGUUGUUCGGAAUUACUGGGCGUAAAGGGCUCGUAGGCGGCCAACUAAGUCGGACGUGAAAUCCCCAGGCUCAACCUGGGAACUGCAUUUGAGACUGCUCUGCUCGGGUGCGGAAGAGGGAAGCGGAAUUUCCGGUGUAGCGGUGAAAUGCGUAGAUAUCGGAAGGAACACCAGUGGCGAAAGCGGCUUCCUGGUCCGACACCGACGUUCAGGCACGAAAGCGUGGGGAGCAAACAGG